UAAACGGUCCUUUUCAGGACCACCGAAAAUCUUUCCUAAACAUUUAU
Non-coding RNA from Aedes albopictus (Asian tiger mosquito), 47 nucleotides. NCBI's taxonomy places the organism in Eukaryota, Metazoa, Arthropoda, Insecta, Diptera, Culicidae. The record is from Rfam.